AGCGUAAUAGCUCACUGGUCGAGUCGGUCCGCGCGGAAGAUGUAACGGGGCUAAACGUAGAACCGAAGCUGCGGAUGCACUAUGUGCAUGGUAGAGGAGCGUUCUGUACGCCUGCGAAGGUGAGUCGAGAGGCUUGCUGGAGGUAUCAGAAGUGCGAAUGCUGACAUGAGUAACGACAAAGGGGGUGAAAAACCCCCUCGCCGGAAGACCAAGGUUUCCUG
RNAcentral lists this ribosomal RNA (221 nucleotides) under Gephyrocapsa oceanica. Its description in RNAcentral is "partial Bacterial large subunit ribosomal RNA". It matches the Rfam family "Bacterial large subunit ribosomal RNA", at positions 1131 to 1357 of the family's 2925-position model. The record is from RNAcentral. Lineage: Eukaryota; Haptophyta; Isochrysidales; Noelaerhabdaceae.